This 773-nucleotide ribosomal RNA is filed under the name uncultured bacterium. Its description in RNAcentral is "bacterial SSU rRNA". It matches the Rfam family "Bacterial small subunit ribosomal RNA", at positions 8 to 796 of the family's 1533-position model. The record is from RNAcentral.
AGAGUUUGAUCAUGGCUCAGGAUAAACGCUGGCGGCGUGCCUAACACAUGCAAGUCGAACGUCCUUUCUUGUUACGGCAAGAGAGGGAGUGGCGGACGGGUGAGUAACACAUGGGUGACCUGGCCCGAAGUGAGGGAUACCGGCGAGAAAUUGCCGACAAGCCCGCAUAGGCUCUUUUUCAUCACGGGAGGAGAGCAAAGCCUGCAAGGGUGCUUUGGGAUGGGCCUGUGGCCGAUUAGCUGGUUGGUGGGGUAAGAGCCUACCAAGGCUGCGAUCGGUAGCUGGUCUGAGAGGACGAACAGCCACACUGGGAUUGAGAACGGCCCAGACUCCUACGGGGGGCAGCGGUGAGGAAUUUUCGGCAAUGGGCGAGAGCCUGACCGAGCAACGCCGCGUGCAGGAGGACGCUUUUCGGAGUGUAAACUGCUUUUGUCCGGGAAGAGGAUGGACGGUACCAGAGGAAGAAGCCCCGGCUAACUACGUGCCAGCAGCCGCGGUAAUACGUAGGGGGCGAGCGUUGUCCGGAGUUACUGGGCGUAAAGGGCAUGCAGGCGGUGGCGCGCGUUUUGUGUGACAGCGGAUGGCUUAACUAUCCGAGCAUACGAAAGACGGCGGCACUUGAGAGCGCGAGAGGGACACGGAAUUCCGGGUGGAGUGGUGAAAUGCGUAGAGAUCCGGAGGAACACCGAAGGCGAAGGCAGUGUCCUGGCGCGUAUCUGACGCUGAGGUGCGAAAGCCAGGGGAGCGAACGGGAUUAGAUACCCCAGUAGUCC